CCUACGGGUGGCAGCAGUGAGGAAUAUUGGUCAAUGGACGAGAGUCUGAACCAGCCAAGUAGCGUGAAGGAUGACUGCCCUAUGGGUUGUAAACUUCUUUUAUAAGGGAAUAAAACGAGCCACGUGUGCCUUUUUGUAUGUACUUUAUGAAUAAGGAUCGGCUAACUCCGUGCCAGCAGCCGCGGUAAUACGGAGGAUCCGAGCGUUAUCCGGAUUUAUUGGGUUUAAAGGGAGCGUAGAUGGGUUGUUAAGUCAGUUGUGAAAGUUUGCGGCUCAACCGUAAAAUUGCAAUUGAUACUGGCAGUCUUGAGGACAGUUGAGGUAGGCGGAAUUCGUGGUGUAGCGGUGAAAUGCUUAGAUAUCACGAAGAACCCCGAUUGCGAAGGCAGCUUACUAAACUGCGACUGACACUGAUGCUCGAAAGUGUGGGUAUCAAACAGGAUUAGAUACCCUAGUAGUC
RNAcentral lists this ribosomal RNA (460 nucleotides) under uncultured bacterium. RNAcentral's name for it is "partial 16S ribosomal RNA". It matches the Rfam family "Bacterial small subunit ribosomal RNA", at positions 338 to 795 of the family's 1533-position model. The record is from RNAcentral.